UAGAUCAAUGAUGCCUUCUGGUGGCAUACGAGUGGUAUCAUGAAUCCGUGUCUGGAACUCUCAGGUCCAU
This 70-nucleotide small nucleolar RNA is filed under the name Sciurus vulgaris (Eurasian red squirrel). Its description in RNAcentral is "Small nucleolar RNA SNORD113/SNORD114 family (ENSSVLG00005015681.1)". It matches the Rfam family "Small nucleolar RNA SNORD113/SNORD114 family". Rfam says of the family: The imprinted human domain at 14q32 contains two clusters of tandemly repeated small nucleolar RNAs named 14q(I) and 14q(II) snoRNAs. These two clusters are named SNORD113 and SNORD114 respectively in the HGNC approved gene symbol nomenclature. Lineage: Eukaryota; Metazoa; Chordata; Mammalia; Rodentia; Sciuridae. The record is from Rfam by way of RNAcentral.